UAAUAACGAUCAAAAGAACUCCUCAGUCCAGGGCUGUGAGAUGGCCCUCUUAUUCAUCACUCCUUUCCAGCCCACUAAUCUAUUUCCUGUGUCACUCACAGCUGACAUGUCCAACCAGCCAUUGUCACUAGUCAUAUGCACGCCCCCAAACAUCACAAACCCACACCAGGCUGAAGUCCAGGGGACAGGAACUUUAAAAGAAAACAGAAACUCAGUGGAUAAAGGUGAGCCAGCAACACAAAAAGGAGCAACUUCUGUCCCCCAAAUAGAAUGGGAAUAAUCCACAUGAGAGUUGCUCCUUCUGCCUGGGCCUGGGAAUGAGAAGACCUGUGGAGCUGAGCUACUGCUUACCCACAACCUGCAUAUACAUAAAUCAGAAGCCAGCACUGGUUGUUGUGAGUCGCUUAGAUUUUGGGCUUGAUGAAGAUGACCUUAGGCACAGUGACCCUGAAGGCCACAUGUUAAAGACAGUGGAGCCACAGGAUGGAAGGAAGCUGGUUCCCUGAAUCAUCACGUGGCAGAGAGCGGACCACUAAUCAGGAUCAUGUGUUUCAGAUUUCACUUGACCAAUAAAUCAAUUUCAAUUUUGUUACACUG
RNAcentral lists this long non-coding RNA (597 nucleotides) under Homo sapiens (human). RNAcentral describes it as "HSALNT0368350". Lineage: Eukaryota; Metazoa; Chordata; Mammalia; Primates; Hominidae. The record is from RNAcentral.